Molecule: ribosomal RNA, 459 nt
Filed under: uncultured bacterium
Lineage: Bacteria
Description: partial 16S ribosomal RNA
Rfam family: Bacterial small subunit ribosomal RNA
Source: RNAcentral
CCUACGGGGGGCAGCAGUGAGGAAUAUUGGUCAAUGGACGAGAGUCUGAACCAGCCAAGUAGCGUGAAGGAUGACUGCCCUAUGGGUUGUAAACUUCUUUUAUAUGGGAAUAAAAUGUUCCACGUGUGGGAUUUUGUAUGUACCAUAUGAAUAAGGAUCGGCUAACUCCGUGCCAGCAGCCGCGGUAAUACGGAGGAUCCGAGCGUUAUCCGGAUUUAUUGGGUUUAAAGGGAGCGUAGGUGGAUUGUUAAGUCAGUUGUGAAAGUUUGCGGCUCAACCGUAAAAUUGCAGUUGAAACUGGCAGUCUUGAGUACAAUAGAGGUGGGCGGAAUUCGUGGUGUAGCGGUGAAAUGCUUAGAUAUCACGAAGAACUCCGAUUGCGAAGGCAGUUCACUGGACUGCAACUGACACUGAGGCUCGAAAGUGUGGGUAUCAAACAGGAUUAGAUACCCUUGUAGU